GGGGGUGAAUGGAUUCGACAGGGAUAGAGUGGAUUAUUGAUGCGUGUCGGGGAGCUAACCUACCCGUUAAACUGGUUGGAACGCAUAAAUGCAAACGAAAAUUACGCUUUAGCUGCUUAGGUGGCUACGGUCUUGAUGAGAUGGCAACGUGCUCUGAAAAGAUUGUUAUUCAUUGUUGCUACUUUUAGUUCAUGCUUAUAGGCUAAAGGGAAAUUCAUAAGCUGGGUCAAUCAAAUUUUUGAUUAUUUUAUAUGAUUGA
This 259-nucleotide transfer-messenger RNA is filed under the name Candidatus Cloacimonadota bacterium. Its description in RNAcentral is "partial transfer-messenger RNA". It matches the Rfam family "transfer-messenger RNA", at positions 1 to 288 of the family's 374-position model. From Rfam's summary of the family: Bacterial tmRNA, also known as 10Sa RNA or SsrA, is named for its dual tRNA and mRNA-like properties. RNAcentral also lists the same sequence under 1 other name. The record is from RNAcentral. Lineage: Bacteria; Pseudomonadati; Candidatus Cloacimonadota.